RNAcentral lists this ribosomal RNA (467 nucleotides) under uncultured bacterium. RNAcentral describes it as "partial 16S ribosomal RNA". It matches the Rfam family "Bacterial small subunit ribosomal RNA", at positions 28 to 506 of the family's 1533-position model. The record is from RNAcentral.
GACGAACGCUGGCGGCGUGCUUAACACAUGCCAGUCGAACGGAAAGGCCCUGCUUUUGUGGGGUGCUCGAGUGGCGAACGGGUGAGUAACACGUGAGUAACCUGCCCUUGACUUUGGGAUAACUUCAGGAAACUGGGGCUAAUACCGGAUAGGAGCUCCUGCUGCAUGGUGGGGGUUGGAAAGUUUCGGCGGUUGGGGAUGGACUCGCGGCUUAUCAGCUUGUUGGUGGGGUAGUGGCUUACCAAGGCUUUGACGGGUAGCCGGCCUGAGAGGGUGACCGGCCACAUGGGGACUGAGAUACGGCCCAGACUCCUACGGGAGGCAGCAGUGGGGAAUAUUGCACAAUGGGCGGAAGCCUGAUGCAGAAACGCCGCGUGCGGGAUGACGGCCUUCGGGUGGUAAACCGCUUUCGCCUGUGACGAAGCGUGAGUGACGGUAAUGGGUAAAGAAGCACCGGCGAACUACGU